UCUCUACUUAGUAAUGUCCUCUGUUACUAUACAUUAUAGGUGGUGGUGUUUUGUUAAAUUGUGAGAGGAAUUUCAGCAGUGUUUAUCUAUCCACCUGGAAGAUAAUCGACAAGAAAGAGAUAAGCUUCAACGGUGAGUUUGCUAUGCGUUGCUUUUAUUUUUGUAUCAUGGUUCAAGUGGCCGCCAUGGUUAUGUAAAUAUCAUAGAUAAGUAUGUAUCUAGGUUAUUUUUGCACCAUGGUUCAAGUGGUAGCCAUGGCUAUAUAAAUACUAUAGAUGAGCAUGUAUCUAGGUAGUGAAUAUGGAGAAUAGGUUGGGGAAUGGCUUGUUCCAUUCCAUUUGUUGCUGUGGUGAUGGCUUGGAGCCGAUUAUGUGAUGUGUGUUUGUGUAAGAAAUAGGCACAAGUGUUGGCGCCAAGCUUUAUCCUAAUAUCAUUGAGUACAAGAUCAAAAUACCAUUUUAUUUAAGUGUAUGGUAAAAGCAUGGAAUAGAUCAUNGGUGGUGGUGUUUUGUUAAAUUGUGAGAGGAAUUUCAGCAGUGUUUAUCUAUCCACCUGGAAGAUAAUCGACAAGAAAGAGAUAAGCUUCAACGGUGAGUUUAUUUUUGUAUCAUGGUUCAAGUGGCCGCCAUGGUUAUGUAAAUAUCAUAGAUAAGCAUGUAUCUAGGUUAUUUUUGCACCAUGGUUCAAGUGGUAGCCAUGGCUAUAUAAAUACUAUAGAUGAGCAUGUAUCUAGGUAGUGAAUAUGGAGAAUAGGU
This 755-nucleotide long non-coding RNA is filed under the name Salvia miltiorrhiza (redroot sage). RNAcentral's name for it is "long non-coding RNA (SMIL_LNC005997)". The record is from RNAcentral. Lineage: Eukaryota; Viridiplantae; Streptophyta; Magnoliopsida; Lamiales; Lamiaceae.